Molecule: long non-coding RNA, 388 nt
Filed under: Mustela putorius furo (domestic ferret)
Lineage: Eukaryota; Metazoa; Chordata; Mammalia; Carnivora; Mustelidae
Description: lncRNA (ENSMPUG00000030097.1)
Source: RNAcentral
GGACAGAGUUUCAUCAAGAUGCGGGAGCAGCCUGCCAUUGGGGAAUUCAUGCAAAUUUAUAUUCGUUUAGAAUAUUUCUUAUGCAGGUGCCUGGGUGGCCCAGUUGGUUAAGCCAUCGACUCUUGAUUGUGGCUCAGGUCGUGAUCUCGGGGACCUGGGAUCGAGUCCCACAUCGGGCUCUGCACUCAGCACAGGGUCCGCUUGCUCCGUCCCACAUCGGGCUCUGCACUCAGCACAGGGUCCGCUNGCUCCGUCCCACAUCGGGCUCUGCACUCAGCACAGGGUCCGCUUGCUCCGUCCCACAUCGGGCUCUGCACUCAGCACAGGGUCCGCUUGCUCCUUCCCUCUGCUCCUCCUCCCGUUCUCUCUCUCAAAUAAAUAAGAUCCU